UGCAGUUGAGCGCUGAAGGUUGGUACUUGUACCAACUGGAUGAGCAGCGAACGGGUGAGCAACGCGUGGGGAAUCUGCCUUUGAGCGGGGGACAACAUUUGGAAACGAAUGCUAAUACCGCAUAAAAACUUUAAACACAAGUUUUAAGUUUGAAAGAUGCAAUUGCAUCACUCAAAGAUGAUCCCGCGUUGUAUUAGCUAGUUGGUGAGGUAAAGGCUCACCAAGGCGAUGAUACAUAGCCGACCUGAGAGGGUGAUCGGCCACAUUGGGACUGAGACACGGCCCAAACUCCUACGGGAGGCAGCAGUAGGGAAUCUUCGGCAAUGGACGAAAGUCUGACCGAGCAACGCCGCGUGAGUGAAGAAGGUUUUCGGAUCGUAAAACUCUGUUGGUAGAGAAGAACGUUGGUGAGAGUGGAAAGCUCAUCAAGUGACGGUAACUACCCAGAAAGGGACGGCUAACUACGUGCCAGCAGCCGCGGUAAUACGUAGGUCCCGAGCGUUGUCCGGAUUUAUUGGGCGUAAAGCGAGCGCAGGUGGUUUAUUAAGUCUGGUGUAAAAGGCAGUGGCUCAACCAUUGUAUGCAUUGGAAACUGGUAGACUUGAGUGCAGGAGAGGAGAGUGGAAUUCCAUGUGUAGCGGUGAAAUGCGUAGAUAUAUGGAGGAACACCGGUGGCGAAAGCGGCUCUCUGGCCUGUAACUGACACUGAGGCUCGAAAGCGUGGGGAGCAAACAGGAUUAGAUACCCUGGUAGUCCACGCCGUAAACGAUGAGUGCUAGAUGUAGGGAGCUAUAAGUUCUCUGUAUCGCAGCUAACGCAAUAAGCACUCCGCCUGGGGAGUACGACCGCAAGGUUGAAACUCAAAGGAAUUGACGGGGGCCCGCACAAGCGGCGGAGCAUGUGGUUUAAUUCGAAGCAACGCGAAGAACCUUACCAGGUCUUGACAUACUCGUGCUAUUCCUAGAGAUAGGAAGUUUCUUCGGGACACGGGAUACAGGUGGUGCAUGGUUGUCGUCAGCUCGUGUCGUGAGAUGUUGGGUUAAGUCCCGCAACGAGCGCAACCCCUAUUGUUAGUUGCCAUCAUUAAGUUGGGCACUCUAACGAGACUGCCGGUGAUAAACCGGAGGAAGGUGGGGAUGACGUCAAAUCAUCAUGCCCCUUAUGACCUGGGCUACACACGUGCUACAAUGGAUGGUACAACGAGUCGCGAGACAGUGAUGUUUAGCUAAUCUCUUAAAACCAUUCUCAGUUCGGAUUGUAGGCUGUAACUCGCCUACAUGAAGUCGGAAUCGCUAGUAAUCGCGGAUCAGCACGCCGCGGUGAAUACGUUCCCGGGCCUUGUACACACCGCCCGUCACACCACGGGAGUUGGGAGUACCCGAAGUAGGUUGCCUAACCGCAAGGAGGGCGC
This 1411-nucleotide ribosomal RNA is filed under the name uncultured bacterium. Its description in RNAcentral is "bacterial SSU rRNA". It matches the Rfam family "Bacterial small subunit ribosomal RNA". The record is from RNAcentral.